ACGAACGUUGGCGGCGUGCUUAAUACAUGCAAGUCACCUGAAGCAGUGGUAGCAAUAUCGCUGUGGAGGUGGCGCACGGGUGAGUAACACGUAGGUAAUCUGCCUUCAGGUCUGGCAUAACUCCGGGAAACCGGGGCUAAUAGCAGAUGAUGCAGCGGCUCGACAUCGAGACAGUUGUUAAAGCUAUGGCGCCUGAAGAUGAGCCUGCGUCUGAUUAGCUAGUUGGCGGGGUAACGGCCCACCAAGGCAACGAUCAGUAGCUGGUCUGAGAGGAUGAUCAGCCACACUGGAACUGAGACACGGUCCAGACUCCUACGGGAGGCAGCAGUAAGGAAUAUUGCUCAAUGGGAGAAAUCCUGAAGCAGCAACGCCGCGUGAGGGACGAAGGGCUUUUGCUUGUAAACCUCUGUAGUGAGAGAAAAAAAUCCCAAUCUUUGGGACAUGAUGGUAUCUCAAAAGUAAGCCCCGGCUAACUACGUG
This 480-nucleotide ribosomal RNA is filed under the name uncultured bacterium. RNAcentral describes it as "partial 16S ribosomal RNA". It matches the Rfam family "Bacterial small subunit ribosomal RNA", at positions 29 to 507 of the family's 1533-position model. The record is from RNAcentral.